This 470-nucleotide ribosomal RNA is filed under the name uncultured bacterium. RNAcentral describes it as "partial 16S ribosomal RNA". It matches the Rfam family "Bacterial small subunit ribosomal RNA", at positions 355 to 830 of the family's 1533-position model. The record is from RNAcentral.
UGGGGAAUAUUGCACAAUGGGCGCAAGCCUGAUGCAGCAACGCCGCGUGAGGGACGACGGGCCUUCGGGUUGUAAACCUCUUUAGUAGGGAAGAAGCGAAAGUGACGGUACCUGCAGAAAAAGCACCGGCUAACUACGUGCCAGCAGCCGCGGUAAUACGUAGGGUGCGAGCGUUGUCCGGAAUUAUUGGGCGUAAAGAGCUCGUAGGCGGUCCGUCGCGUCUGCUGGUGAAAAACCCGAGGCUCAACCUCGGGCCUGCAGUGGGUACGGGCAGACUAGAGUGCGGUAGGGGAGAAUGGAAUUCCUGGGUGUAGCGGUGGAAGCGCAGAUAUCGAGGAGGAACACGAUGGCGAAGGCAGGUUCUCAUGGGCCGUAACUGACGCUGAGGAGCGAAAAGCGUGGGGAGCGAAACAGGAUUAGAUACCCUGGUAGUCCACGCCGUAAAACGUUGGGCGCUAAGAUGUGGGGCA